Molecule: small RNA, 107 nt
Filed under: Tetranychus urticae (two-spotted spider mite)
Lineage: Eukaryota; Metazoa; Arthropoda; Arachnida; Trombidiformes; Tetranychidae
Description: sRNA tetur06g06492
Source: RNAcentral
UUACUUACACGGUUAAAGGGAAGUUGGGAUAGUGUCUCUCUCACUUGGGUUUACCUCAGGGUUCGGGAAGGCCUCCUAUCCUUAAAUUCUAGAGCAAAGUGUGGGUA